GUCUACAGCCAUACCACCCUGAGCACACCCAGCCUCGUCUGGUCUUGGAAGCUAGGCAGGGUCUGUCCUGGUUAGUACUUAGAUGAGAGAACCCUAGGUGUGGCUCCACUGGUAGCAGUGUUCU
Molecule: ribosomal RNA, 124 nt
Filed under: Microtus ochrogaster (prairie vole)
Lineage: Eukaryota; Metazoa; Chordata; Mammalia; Rodentia; Cricetidae
Source: RNAcentral